Molecule: long non-coding RNA, 1070 nt
Filed under: Cyanistes caeruleus (blue tit)
Lineage: Eukaryota; Metazoa; Chordata; Aves; Passeriformes; Paridae
Description: lncRNA (ENSCCEG00000018298.1)
Source: RNAcentral
UUGGGGGUUCCUUUUUUUUCUUAUUUCUUUUUCCUUCCCAGAAGAGGGGCCUAAUUCCCUAAUUCCCAGUUACUGAAUUAUUCCCAAGGGGCCUCAGGCUGUUGUUUUUUUUAUUUUCCCAGAUACGAUAAAAAACCCAACUCAGGGCAGAUUCCUGCAGGGAGAGGAUUGCAAGGGAAGCUCAGACUCUGCAGGGACAAGCACCAACUGUUUGGGUCCCUUUCCUUUACCAAAAUCCUGCAUUUAAAUGGACCCAGAGGUUUUGAACCGCAGAAAGAAGAAACUGAGGAUCAAAUAAGCCGGGGUGGUGUGGAUUGAUCAGAGCAGAACCUUUGGGAUUUACCAGCCACUCCUGGAAGGGCCAAAGCCACCAUGACCCAUCAAUUCCUGCCAGCCCCAAGAACAGAUGAAAGAGGCUCGUUUUUGUUUUUUCUAAAGAGAGAAGCGUUGGAGCGAGCCUUGGGAAGCCUGGCUGAGGUUUGGAGCUGGUUUUUCAUCUUUCAUUGGAGCUCAGAUGUCAGCAGGGAAACACACACAGAAAGCAGAGAUUUGCUUUGGAAACAACCACAAAAAGCGGCUCUGAAGCUGCUGACCGGUGACCCCAGCACAAAAGUGGAGGUAGCAGAGCCGCAAAUACAUUAAAAAUUAAUCAUAUUUAUCCCUCCCUGUAUUUAAAGACCAGUUUAAGUUCUGAACUUCUCCCAGGCUGCCCAGGAGCUGCCUUGGAUUUGUUCUUGGCUGUAAAGUGGGGCUGGUGACAUUCCCAAAGCCCAGAAAUUCUGGGUGUCUCCUUGAAACCCUUUGGUGAAAGAGCAGAAACAAAACCGCGCCAGCUCUAAAAGGAAAUCCCUGCAGACAAAAACCUCAACAAUUUCGUCUCGUUGCCGUUGUUAUCGACCAAAGUUUGCGGUGUUUUCCUAUCAAACCCCCGUGAAUUCUGCUGCUCGAGCAGGGACUUGGGAGAUGACCUGGGCAGGAGCAGGGAGAGGCUCCCAGGAGCUGGAUUUCAUUUGGAAUUCCGAUCCAGCCCACGGCUCCAGCUCCAAGCCCUUUAUUCCCGCAAGUGGCGC